UAUCUUGUAUCUUUGGACUUCUGCCU
This 26-nucleotide non-coding RNA is filed under the name Rattus norvegicus (Norway rat). Lineage: Eukaryota; Metazoa; Chordata; Mammalia; Rodentia; Muridae. The record is from RNAcentral.